RNAcentral lists this ribosomal RNA (497 nucleotides) under uncultured bacterium. Its description in RNAcentral is "partial 16S ribosomal RNA". It matches the Rfam family "Bacterial small subunit ribosomal RNA", at positions 28 to 507 of the family's 1533-position model. The record is from RNAcentral.
GAUGAACGCUGGCGGCGUGCCUAAUACAUGCAAGUCGAGCGAACGGACGAGAAGCUUGCUUCUCUGAUGUUAGCGGCGGACGGGUGAGUAACACGUGGAUAACCUACCUAUAAGACUGGGAUAACUUCGGGAAACCGGAGCUAAUACCGGAUAAUAUUUUGAACCGCAUGGUUCAAAAGUGAAAGACGGUCUUGCUGUCACUUAUAGAUGGAUCCGCGCUGCAUUAGCUAGUUGGUAAGGUAACGGCUUACCAAGGCAACGAUGCAUAGCCGACCUGAGAGGGUGAUCGGCCACACUGGAACUGAGACACGGUCCAGACUCCUACGGGAGGCAGCAGUAGGGAAUCUUCCGCAGUGGGCGAAAGCCUGACGGAGCAACGCCGCGUGAGUGAUGAAGGUCUUCGGAUCGUAAAACUCUGUUAUUAGGGGAGAACAUAUGUGUAAGUAACUGUGCACAUCGUGACGGUACCUAAUCAGAAAGCCACGGCUAACUACGUG